CGCGUAGGUGGCGCGGGUAGUCGUCGGUGAAAGUUCAGGGCUCAACCCUGAAUCGGCCGGUGAUACUCCCGUGCUCGAGUGUGGUAGAGGCCAAUGGAAUUCCGGGUGUAGCGGUGGAAUGCGUAGAGAUCCGGAAGAACACCGGUGGCGAAGGCGGUUGGCUGGGCCACAACUGACACUGAUGCGCGACAGCGUGGGGAGCAAACAGGAUUAGAUACCCUGGUAGUCCACGCCGUAAACGAUGGGCACUAGGUGCUUGGGGGAGCGACCCCCUGAGUGCCGGCGCUAACGCAUUAAGUGCCCCGCCUGGGGAGUACGGCCGCAAGGCUGAA
RNAcentral lists this ribosomal RNA (332 nucleotides) under uncultured Gemmatimonadota bacterium. Its description in RNAcentral is "bacterial SSU rRNA". It matches the Rfam family "Bacterial small subunit ribosomal RNA", at positions 568 to 898 of the family's 1533-position model. The record is from RNAcentral. Lineage: Bacteria; Pseudomonadati; Gemmatimonadota.